AUACCUUAUCCCUUCCAAUGUCUCCCCGCCGCUCUCAGGAAAAAAGCCGCCGCUACCGUCCUCGGUGCUCCCGGCGGUUACGGCGAAGGAGUCCCUGGGCAUGCUGCUCCUGCGCCAACGCCUCCGCCAUCCGCACCGUCGUGGGCAACGCCAAAUACAACGCCGAUGCCGCAUAUACGCGCGCGCGCCGGUCGCCGCCUCGGCCUCGGUACGCCCGACCGCGGAGGAGGGGGAGGAGCAGGAGCAGUGGCGCAGGAGCCGGCAGCGUAGACGGAGGGAGAGGAGUAGCGCGAGGGGCGCGGACGGAGGGGUCGCCGGGGACGCUUGGCGCGCCACCACACAACGGUCCCGGGCCGCCGCGGGGAGGCAGAGAGGCGACACGGGAGAGGUGAGAGGAUAGCCGAACAGCGGGCUCGCAGUCGCAGGGUCACUAUGCGAGAGCACAUAUCCUCGCAUGGCAGGUUACAUGUAGCCCUAUAAAAUCAAAUUCAGCCCCAUGUUACCUGAUUUCCUGUGAAUGGAUUUUACUGCUUUUCAGUUUUGGACACUGUGUAACUUGUUGUAUUUCUGGAGCAGUGCUGCGAGAGGAGGCUAUGAAGUACGUCCAAUACUUAACCUACAGCCAUCUAAUAUGCAAAUUUAAUAAUAGAAGAAGAUGACCUCAUUUAUAUACUGGAAAAUGAAAAACAAAAAAUGUAUAAGAAGACCCAAUUCCUCUUUUAUGUGCACCUUGUGUGCGUAGACACUGGACUACAAUUGUAGCAACAAAGAGUAUAUCAAUUUAUCGGGUAAUAGAAAUAGUGCUACUUC
This is a long non-coding RNA of Triticum aestivum (bread wheat), 810 nucleotides long. RefSeq lists it as uncharacterized. The record is from RefSeq and is a predicted model, not a curated record. NCBI's taxonomy places the organism in Eukaryota, Viridiplantae, Streptophyta, Magnoliopsida, Poales, Poaceae. The transcript has 2 exons.